RNAcentral lists this ribosomal RNA (282 nucleotides) under Triticum aestivum (bread wheat). RNAcentral describes it as "partial small subunit ribosomal RNA". Lineage: Eukaryota; Viridiplantae; Streptophyta; Magnoliopsida; Poales; Poaceae. The record is from RNAcentral.
AUGGACCUCCCGUCGAUUACGGCGAUGGGGUCCCUGGGCGUGCUGCUGCUGCACCCCAUGAACGGCUACCUGGAGCAGGAGCUGGACCGCGUCUUCCGCUUCUGGGACUCCCCUCCAGACGGGGGCGCCGAGUUCCUCCGUGCGGUCGUCGGCAACGCCGGAUACAACGCCGACGCCGCGCUCAUCGAUGCGUUGCCGUCCCUCGAGAACGUUGCGUCCUCCGUGGGGAUCGACCGCGUCGACCUCACCAAGUGCCGCGAGCGCGGGAUCCAUGCUCACUGA